AUGCUCCUCUCGGUGCGCCGCCUGCCCACCGCUCCGUCCCGCCCAGCGGCCCACCCGCACAUCUCCCCUGCGCCGCCCACCCUCCGGCUCCGGCGACAACACGGUCGAGUGGCGGUGGCGAUGGCGAGGACGGCGUCAACGGCGCCUGCGAUGAAUUCGCAUAUCUUCUCGGCCCCCCUCACGGCAAAAUUCAGGCUCCGCCGCCAACCAAAUGUCAAGAGAUAUAAGUGCAAUGUCAUACGGAGUAACCUCUUCGAUAGAUUAACCAGGGUUGCCAGGUCCUAUGCAAAUGCAGUUAUUAGUUCAUUUGAAGACCCCGAGAAGAUCCUAGAUCAGGCGGUUCUGGAGAUGAAUGAUGAUUUAAUAAAGAUGCGGCAGGCCACUGCACAGGUCUUGGCAUCCCAAAAGCGGCUUGAGAACAAGUGCAAAGCGGCUCAACAAGCUGAUGCUGACUGGUAUCGGAGGGCUCAACUUGCUCUUCAAAAGGGCGAUGAGGAGCUUGCACGUGAAGCCCUGAAACGCCGUAAAUCAUAUGCUGACAAUGCAAGCUCCUUAAAGACCCAGCUUGAUCAGCAGAGGAGUGUUGUUGAAAAUCUUGUUUCAAAUACCAAGCUUCUUGAGAGCAAAAUAGCAGAGGCCAGGCAGAAAAAGGAUACCCUAAAAGCCCGUGCUCAAUCAGCCAAAACUGCAACAAAAGUGAGUGAAAUGUUGGGGAAUGUGAAUACAAGUAGUGCCCUGUCGGCAUUUGAGAAAAUGGAGGAAAAAGUUAUGACGAUGGAAUCCCAAGCUGAGGCACUUGGUCAGUUAGGAGCAGAUGAUCUAGAAGGAAAGUUCGCUAUGCUUGAGACUACAUCGGUUGAUGAUGAUCUUGCACAAAUGAGAAAAGAACUGUCUGGGAGCUCUUUGAAAGGUGAACUUCCUCAAGGUAGAACCGCUACUCCUCGAGACAGGGAUAUCGAGAGGGAGUUAAAUGAGCUGCGGGAGAAGGCCAACGAUUAUUAG
This 1002-nucleotide ribosomal RNA is filed under the name Triticum aestivum (bread wheat). RNAcentral's name for it is "partial small subunit ribosomal RNA". Lineage: Eukaryota; Viridiplantae; Streptophyta; Magnoliopsida; Poales; Poaceae. The record is from RNAcentral.